GGUUAAUGUAAAAGAAUUUGGCAAGUUAAGAGAGAGAGAUAGAUGUCUAUUUGAUAGUAGAAGUUCUGCUUUCUCAAAAUGCAGUCCAUAUGAAUGGCCUGGUAUACCUUCUAUCUAUUUUCCAUCUUUUAACUCACAUCUCCCUCCCGCGACAGAUUUCUCAAAAUGCAGUCCAUAUGAAUGGCCUGGUAUACCUUCUAUCUAUUUUCCAUCUUUUAACUCACAUCUCCCUCCCGCGACAGACAGAUUGCAUCUGGAUGUUGGGCGCAAUUGGCAUAAUCACUUCUGCCAACCAUUUGUUC
Molecule: long non-coding RNA, 302 nt
Filed under: Lathyrus oleraceus (garden pea)
Lineage: Eukaryota; Viridiplantae; Streptophyta; Magnoliopsida; Fabales; Fabaceae
Description: Pisum sativum (pea) long non-coding RNA (PSAT_LNC038742)
Source: RNAcentral